This 254-nucleotide ribosomal RNA is filed under the name uncultured bacterium. RNAcentral describes it as "partial 16S ribosomal RNA". It matches the Rfam family "Bacterial small subunit ribosomal RNA", at positions 524 to 776 of the family's 1533-position model. The record is from RNAcentral.
UACGGAGGGGGCAAGCGUUGUUCGGAAUUACUGGGCGUAAAGGGCGCGCAGGCGGCUGCUCAAGUCAGGCGUGAAAGGCCUGGGCUCAACCCGGGAAUUGCGCUUGAGACUGGGCUGGCUUGAGUGCGGGAGAGGAUGGUGGAAUUCCCAGUGUAGAGGUGAAAUUCGUAGAUAUUGGGAAGAACACCGGUGGCGAAGGCGGGUCUCUGGGCCGUAACUGACGCUGAGGAGCGAAAGCGUGGGGAGCGAACAGG